This is a long non-coding RNA of Alexandromys fortis (reed vole), 829 nucleotides long. RefSeq lists it as uncharacterized. The record is from RefSeq and is a predicted model, not a curated record. The transcript is spliced from 3 exons. NCBI's taxonomy places the organism in Eukaryota, Metazoa, Chordata, Mammalia, Rodentia, Cricetidae.
UGUCCUGGAACUAGUUCUUGUAGAUCAGGCUGGCCUUGAACUCACAGAGAUCGGCCUACCGCUACCUCUCGGAAUGUUGGGAUUAAAAUCCUGCACUACCACCUCCCGGCCUAAGCAGAUGUUUAAACUAUUUGUUUUUAACCGCAGGUCAUCUCUCUCACCUUCAACCCUUAGAUACCUAAACUAGCCCUCUUGGACCUUUUCCAGACAGUGGCUCCCCGAGUGUGGUUUCUGGGGGAGCACUAUUGAAAAUACAAACUCUAAAAUGCAGGGGUUUCAUCCCUGACUCAGGGGCUGGGCCCAACCUAUUAGAGCAAACGCCGCAGGUGAUGUUCUGGAGCCCUUCCGGUCGAGCCUACUGACCUAGGACCGUUUCUACAUCGACUACGGGUUAUAUUUUCAGUCCACAAAUCGGGGUUGUAAUUCCUAUCUCACCAUCACUCCACCACAAAGCUUGUACCCACUUGAGUGCUGUCGACGGAGCUGCACUGCACUUCACACCGAAACAAGAUCUGCCUCGCUCUCUAAGGAAGCCAAAGAUUGUUCCGCAAGAAUCUGAAGAUGACUAAGACAUAAAAAUUCAACAGCACCACCACCAAGGAAGACCUUCUCCUCUUUUAGGGCCUGAUAUAAACGAUAUACACAAGACCAAAACCUGUCUUCCUUGGCUUCCAUCUGAGCACUUAUUGGGCUGGUGGCGGUAACUCUCUGUGAGGUCACCCUCAAUGAGAAUCACCCGGAAAGGUUGAUCCUGCAAUUCCUUUAUCAGAGCAAGAAUAGACAUGGGUACAACAGUGACAUAUCCUAAACAAACACAGGAACAAGUUUC